RNAcentral lists this ribosomal RNA (209 nucleotides) under uncultured bacterium. Its description in RNAcentral is "partial 16S ribosomal RNA". It matches the Rfam family "Bacterial small subunit ribosomal RNA", at positions 524 to 731 of the family's 1533-position model. The record is from RNAcentral.
UACGGGGGGGUGCGAGCGUUGUCCGGAAUCACUGGGCGUAAGGGGCGCGUAGGUGGCGUGAUAAGGGUGUGGUGAAAGCCCGGGGCUCAACCCCGGGGUCGGCCAUGCCGACUGUCAGGCUAGAGUGCUGUAGGGGCAGGCGGAAUUCCGGGUGUAGCGGUGGAAUGCGUAGAGAUCCGGAAGACACCGGUGGCGAAGGCGGCCUGCUG